This is a long non-coding RNA of Strongylocentrotus purpuratus (purple sea urchin), 521 nucleotides long. RefSeq lists it as uncharacterized. The transcript has 3 exons. The record is from RefSeq and is a predicted model, not a curated record. NCBI's taxonomy places the organism in Eukaryota, Metazoa, Echinodermata, Echinoidea, Camarodonta, Strongylocentrotidae.
UUUUAAUGCUCGUCUUGUUAAUGCUAUUCUUAUUCCAAACAUAGGUGUCAGAGGUGAAACAACCGUGCCGACAAGGUCAACAAGUGGCACUCCUGAAACGCCUACAGAAUAUCGGACUCCUACGCCAGAUUUUACCACAAUUCACCAGGCAUUGCCCACAACACCAUCACAAGCAGACAUAGUCCACCAGAAGACCUCCCUCUUCAGACGGAUCGAGGGACGGCGCCUUCGAAAUCACGUGAUCAAAGCCAAACAUGGCUUGUCAUUGGUCAAAUGCGGUGCCGAGUGUAACAAGCGAGAUGACUGCGUGUCAUUUAACAUCAGCAACGGUGUGUGUGAACUCAACAACCAGGUGGUAGGCGGCACCGGUGUCGACGGAGACGACUUUGUUGAAGAAGUGGGAUUUAAAUAUUAUGAGAAACAAUAAACUUAGAGUCACAGGUUUUCUUGGACGUAUUAAUCGUCAUGACAAUAGUUUGCGAAAACAGGUGAUUGGCGUUAAGGUUGUACAUAUAUGUUAA